Non-coding RNA from Pelobates cultripes (western spadefoot toad), 557 nucleotides. Lineage: Eukaryota; Metazoa; Chordata; Amphibia; Anura; Pelobatidae. The record is from the annotation of a GenBank genome assembly.
AUUAAACCGCCAUUUAGUAGAGUUUCCCUUUUUGUGGAGGUACAGGUACAGCUACUGUAGAACCCCAACUCCCGAACUGGAACCAGGGAAUGCUCCAAACUCCCGAACAGUAUACACAGUAGUACUCCAAACUCCCGAACGGUAAUCUCACGAAUAGCUGCUUACAGACGAACGCACACAGCAUCCAAGCCGCCUACAUUCCCAGCAAUCAGUCUCUAACCACGUACAGUAAAUCCCCUCAAUCACGAGACCACGCUCCGUAUUGAAGGUAAAACAGGAUUCUGGUUUAUUUAGGGCUACCUGCCCGGUAUUUAUGCAGGUCUCCCACCUGGUGGACACUCCACUAGGGGACCAGAUGGAAGACUGUAACACAGACAGACAUGUAUCAUAUUCCGACACACAGAAGUAAAACAUCCCUACAAUACAUCCUAAUUUCCCUCCCUCUAUCCUGGAGAUAAUUGGGAAGUAAUCCAAUUAUCUCCCAGGACAGAGGCAAAUCGCCAUUAUACACGUGGGGACACAGAGACAGUAAAAUACAUUAAAAAAUAUAAUAUUAC